CCUACGGGCGGCAGCAGUGAGGAAUGUUGGUCAAUGGACGAGAGUCUGAACCAGCCAAGUAGCGUGAAGGAUGACUGCCCUAUGGGUUGUAAACUUCUUUUAUAUGGGAAUAAAACGUUCCACGUGUGGGAUUUUGUAUGUACCAUAUGAAUAAGGAUCGGCUAACUCCGUGCCAGCAGCCGCGGUAAUACGGAGGAUCCGAGCGUUAUCCGGAUUUAUUGGGUUUAAAGGGAGCGUAGGUGGAUUGUUAAGUCAGUUGUGAAAGUUUGCGGCUCAACCGUAAAAUUGCAGUUGAAACUGGCAGUCUUGAGUACAGUAGAGGUGGGCGGAAUUCGUGGUGUAGCGGUGAAAUGCUUAGAUAUCACGAAGAACUCCGAUUGCGAAGGCAGUUCACUGGACUGCAACUGACACUGAGGCUCGAAAGUGUGGGUAUCAAACAGGAUUAGAUACCCCUGUAGUC
This 460-nucleotide ribosomal RNA is filed under the name uncultured bacterium. RNAcentral's name for it is "partial 16S ribosomal RNA". It matches the Rfam family "Bacterial small subunit ribosomal RNA", at positions 338 to 795 of the family's 1533-position model. The record is from RNAcentral.